Coffea eugenioides is the source of this 224-nucleotide small nucleolar RNA. RefSeq annotates it as small nucleolar RNA U3. The transcript has a single exon. NCBI's taxonomy places the organism in Eukaryota, Viridiplantae, Streptophyta, Magnoliopsida, Gentianales, Rubiaceae. The record is from RefSeq and is a predicted model, not a curated record.
ACGACCUUACUUGAACAGGAUCUGUUCUAUAGGCUCGUACCUCUGUGUCCUUGAGUUCUAAGGAGACAGGAAACCACGUCUGGUGGAUGAAAUAUGACCGCUUGACCAGAGCGUGAUUAACAGCUCUUGUUGCUCGGCUUCCGAGCUCCCAGGGCAGUAGAGGAUCGUUCCCAGCCCUUCGCUCUGGCAUUGGUUGGGGUGGUCUUGCGGUUGUCUGACAGACU